GACGAACGCUGGCGGCGUGCCUAAUACAUGCAAGUCGAGCGAAGUUUUUCUGGUGCUUGCACUAGAAAAACUUAGCGGCGAACGGGUGAGUAACACGUAAAGAACCUGCCUCAUAGACUGGGACAACUAUUGGAAACGAUAGCUAAUACCGGAUAACAGUAUUUCUCGCAUGAGAGAUAUUUAAAAGUUGGUUAUGCUAACACUAUGAGAUGGCUUUGCGGUGCAUUAGCUAGUUGGUGGGGUAAAGGCCCACCAAGGCGACGAUGCAUAGCCGACCUGAGAGGGUGAUCGGCCACACUGGGACUGAGACACGGCCCAGACUCCUACGGGAGGCAGCAGUAGGGAAUCUUCCGCAAUGGGCGAAAGCCUGACGGAGCAACGCCGCGUGAGUGAAGAAGGAUUUCGGUUCGUAAAGCUCUGUUGUUAGGGAAGAAUGGAUAUGUAGUAACUAUACAUGUAAGAGACGGUACCUAACCAGAAAACCACGGCUAACUACGUG
Molecule: ribosomal RNA, 499 nt
Filed under: uncultured bacterium
Lineage: Bacteria
Description: partial 16S ribosomal RNA
Rfam family: Bacterial small subunit ribosomal RNA
Source: RNAcentral